AGUGAACGCUGGCGGCAUGCCUAACACAUGCAAGUCGAACGGCAGGACCGUGAGAUUUUGCGCUUACCGGUUGGGAGUGGCGGGCGUGUGAGGAGUACAUCGGGAUCUUCUUUUUCGGGGAAGAUAAGGUAACGAGGCUUACGCUAAUAACGCAUACGACGUACCGUGGAGUGCAGUGGAUCGUUGCACCUUUUGCGGCUGAAUUAGCCGCUGGCGGGUUAGCUAGUUGGGUGGUUAAAUGCCUACCAGGGCGACGAUCCGUGGCCUGUCUGAGAGGCUGAUCGGCCACACUGGAACUGAGACACGGUCAAGACGACUACGGGAGGCAGCAGUGGGGAAUAUUGGACAAUGGGCGCAAGCAUGAUCCAGCAAGACCGCGUGGGUGACGAAGGCCUCCGGUGUGUAAAGCCCUUUUGUUGGGAAAGAACAGCAGUAGCUUAAUACCCCGCUGUUCUGACGGUACCCAAAGAAUAAGCACCGGCUAACUACGUG
This 492-nucleotide ribosomal RNA is filed under the name uncultured bacterium. Its description in RNAcentral is "partial 16S ribosomal RNA". It matches the Rfam family "Bacterial small subunit ribosomal RNA", at positions 29 to 507 of the family's 1533-position model. The record is from RNAcentral.